GGGCGAGGGCUGCCCCGGGGAACCUCCUGAAUGCGGAACUUCCCCAGCCCACAGCGCUAGGCGUUGAGGUGCGCCGGCAGCCAUGCUCCCCAAGCCUAAGCUGGGGUACCCGCUUCGGUGCUUUCAGUUAAAUCUCGGUUUGUGCGCGAGGGUCGAGCCAGCCCCUCCCUAGACAGCUGAAACUGCGGUCGCAUCCUUGCUUAGGGGCGCGGCACCGGACAAUACUUGCCAGGCAGCCCCCGUUUCCGGAAGAUAACGUUUAUUUAUAACUGCUGAGAGGUUGGUGUUCCCAAGAAUUCCUUAUCAGGAGUGAAUAAGAGCAGAGAAGCAGUGUAGCGCAGUGGGGUCCCCACCAGUAAGAUGGCAAUCUUCUGGCUUCUCUUCGGGGUCCUCAGUUCCCGC
Non-coding RNA from Manis javanica (Malayan pangolin), 402 nucleotides. The record is from RefSeq and is a predicted model, not a curated record. NCBI's taxonomy places the organism in Eukaryota, Metazoa, Chordata, Mammalia, Pholidota, Manidae.